UUAAAGAUUGUGUGGUGUGGUGGUUGGCUUGGUCCACCCCCAUGAGCCAUCUGUGGGCGAGUCUCCUCUUGAGAAUCAAGUGAGGGAGAUUGAUUUCACCCGGGGGGAAGACAUUUAAUUGACCUGAUGUGAAAGACAAGGGAGAAAAAGACUGGUACGAGAUGCAAGAGGGCCGUGUGCGUGCGUGACGCUGUGUGUUGCUCGAGGCCGAUAGGGUCUGUCCGGCAGUUUGGGUUUGGACAGAUAGUGGGGGGACGUUAGGAGCGCUGGCCAAUGGCUCGUGUGGUUGCGAGCAUACACUCUAAAAAAUGCUGGGUUAUUUGUUUAACCCAACAGCUGGGUUGAGCCUGUUGGGUCAUUUUGUUGGGUUAUUUUCUUAGUGUUGGGUCAUUUUUUGAGUAACCCAAACGCUGGGUUACCAGUCGGGUCCAAUUGAGUGACAGUUGAGAGAGUAAACCCCUCCCACUCCUCGACGCAUCAGACAAACUUUACCUUCGCGGGCAUUUUGAUCCACUUCAUCUCGGAAAGCUGUUAUUCGGAGAAUAAAAGGUUGCAGAAUAACAGCUAAUAUUAAUGGAUCAUUCUAUUCAAGAGAAAGUCAACUGGAACGUGGAUGUUUUCAUAACAGGCUUAAAGAUGAAUAAAUUGAUAAAGAAACCCUCCUGCUGGACAUCCACUUCCAAAAGUGCACGCCACACUGUUGUCUACAACUCCCAGUAAAAGAAUCCUCUUUAGUAAGACUGCUCCGUGGAUAUGUCAGGUUAAGCAGUGCUGAAACUGAAAGAACUAACACUAUUUAAAAUGUUUUGUGAGUUUAUAUGAAGAGGAAAGUUACGGUGUCCCUUUUUCACAUCCAUAACGCUUGUUUAUUUCUUUUUUUAUAGAAAACUUGUGCAUAGACUUAUAUUUUAUCAUAUAAAUGCGGUUCUAUCAACAAGGGUUUAGUAAAAUACUUUUUAUAGUGUUUUUAUGUCGCAUCCAUAACGCUGGAAUUGCCCUAAAGCAUUUUACUCGUGCCACUUUGUUAACUGUAUAUGAAUUUUUGAAGUGUUAAGUUGUCUAACUAUUUAUAUUUACUUGUGCCACUUUAAUAACCUUGUUAAAUGUAUAUGUUAAAAUCUAAACUAAUGUAAUUUAUUGAAGUUAAUUUUUCUUAAAUAUGUAUAAACAUACAUUUCAUCAAAGUGUUUUAUAUGCCAUUUUAUUGUUCAUUGAGCAUAACAUAUUGCAUGUUUUUAUGAAUUCCUUUUGUCUUGCAUUUUGAUCCUUAAUAAAACUUUUGAUUCUUACUGAUGCCUCGAGUAUUUCUCUGUGAUUUUGUUAUUAUUAUUUUUAAACAUUUCGGGUUUGUUUUAAACCAUCAAUGUAAUUUUUAAGCAAAAGUUGAUUUAAAUAAAACAACCCAGCAUGUUGGGUCAAAGAUAU
This is a long non-coding RNA of Triplophysa dalaica, 1425 nucleotides long. RefSeq lists it as uncharacterized. The record is from RefSeq and is a predicted model, not a curated record. The transcript has 3 exons. NCBI's taxonomy places the organism in Eukaryota, Metazoa, Chordata, Actinopteri, Cypriniformes, Nemacheilidae.